AGCCAGUGAUUGAAUGGCAGUUGCAGGUUCAGGCAAUAAAUAUACUCCCAGCUAGUACGGCAACUAAGCAAGGCAGUAAAUCAGAGUGGGUUUAAGGGUUCAACUUGGCAACUAUAGUGGUGGCUUGUCUGUUGGUACUUAGAUAUGGCUUUUGGAAUUAAUUUGUGGAUCGUGUUGCUUUGCUCCAUAUUCUCAGAACAUUUAAGAUCUGCUUGUGCUCCACAUGAUGCCCAGAGAUUAAGAGGCUACAUGUAUUCUGGCUCUUCCCAAGUGGAAGAUGAACAGAAACAACCAGGUGAUGGCUAUCCUCAGGAUCCAAUCAAACCAACUUUUAGUACUUCAAGAUCUGUCCAGAGUGAUGCUACUCGUAGAGAGACUGGCCCCAACACCCAUAACCGGGAACUAU
Long non-coding RNA from Oncorhynchus keta (chum salmon), 406 nucleotides. RefSeq lists it as uncharacterized. The record is from RefSeq and is a predicted model, not a curated record. NCBI's taxonomy places the organism in Eukaryota, Metazoa, Chordata, Actinopteri, Salmoniformes, Salmonidae. The transcript has 3 exons.